RNAcentral lists this non-coding RNA (85 nucleotides) under Bacillus coahuilensis. RNAcentral's name for it is "c-di-GMP sequence". It matches the Rfam family "c-di-GMP-I riboswitch aptamer". Rfam says of the family: GEMM was predicted in a large-scale screen for bacterial structured RNA regulatory elements. Genes associated with GEMM are involved in a diverse array of functions, including chemotaxis regulation, signal transduction, secretion and chitin. Lineage: Bacteria; Bacillati; Bacillota; Bacilli; Caryophanales; Bacillaceae. RNAcentral also lists the same sequence under 1 other name. The record is from RNAcentral.
UUUUAUAUUCGGCAAACUACUUGAAAGGGUAGGACGCAAAACUAAAGGGGCUAAAUCAUUCGUGACACGCCAGCCAGUUGCAGUC